Acanthaster planci (crown-of-thorns starfish) is the source of this 2027-nucleotide long non-coding RNA. RefSeq lists it as uncharacterized. The record is from RefSeq and is a predicted model, not a curated record. Lineage: Eukaryota; Metazoa; Echinodermata; Asteroidea; Valvatida; Acanthasteridae.
CCUUUUCUGGUCAAUCGAAUAAAAACGCUGCGGUGUCUUUCUGCACAGCAUACUUCUACCAAAACGUUCCGUGAUCAACACUUUGACGUUUCACGCGGAGAAAGUCCAUUUCUGCGGGGAAACUUUCUUCGUUUUGAGUUUUUAGUACGGUACUUCUGAAAUCGGGAAUAGUUGGAGAAUUUACCAAGAGGUAGGCCUACUCUGGUUUCGAUAGCAUCAUCCUCUCACCCAGACACUACACGAUGAACACGAGGACUGUGCUGCUCCUGGCGCUUGUCGUCACCAUGGCUUGCUCCUUCUCAGAGGCCGGCAAUUACUGGCAGAUGAGGGGGCGCACGGGCCGGGCCAGCCUCCGGACGAACUUCAGGAAACGCAUCUACCCGUUCGUCCCGAUCCGACCUGAGAUGCUGGAGCGAGUGGUGGAAGACUGGGAUAAUGGUGACGCCGAAUUUGACAACUACUAGAAUUUGCCUUCUACGAUUCGUGAUCAUUCAAAACAAAGUUCUUUCGUUUCUUCAUUGGACUUUUCAACCUUACCACGAGAGGGCGAUAAAAUGAUCUUACGGGCUCAAAGGGAAUGUCUGCUCAAUGUCUUUAUGCGGGUCUAGUUCUUAGUUAUUCUCCAAAGCUGUGAGCCAACCUGAUGAGAAUGGGCAUCUCGAGGGCGGUGCGAGAGCGGGAAGAAGUUUAAAAGGGGCGGGGAAGAGGAAGACAGAAGAAUGUGAAACCAACAAUGUGUGUUUAAAAAAAUGGCCUGUUUCUAUGAAAAUGCCUAGUGUUAUGGCUGAACUGUCGAGUGCCCCCACUUGGCAAAAGUACAAGUUUCCCCUUCCUAGUGAUGCCUGUGCUGAAGAGAGUCUACACUGUCGAUAUUAUUCUGAGUUGCUCUUUUGGGCGGUUGGUCUCGGUUGCUUUUGUCCCAUGGUCAUAUUUUCGAAAAAACAAAGUGAUGCAUUCUUUUCACUUCAUCACAUCUGGACAUUUCAAGAAAACACAGUUAUCAGCUCUUUGAUGUAAGGUGUAAGCUCUGCACAUGCCUUUCGUUAUUAAUGGUAGACAGUUGUGUACAGUUAUUUGAAUUGUUCCAUAAUAGAAGGUUUGGAUGAUAAGCCUACAUAAUAUAUUUUAUUGGCUCUAUUGCAUUGUAAAAAGAUCAAGUGUUACAGUAGAUGUAAUUCUUAAACAUUUAUUUCAAAAAGAUGCCGUCUAUUAUGUUGUGCGGCAAACUCACCACAGAGACGUUUGGUCAGUGGUAAAUUCACUUCUUUGUUCACAGCCUUAUCUUAAUAUUCGGCUCUUUAUUCAGUCCAGAGUUCCUUCCGACAGAAAACAACUGGACAAGGUUUUACACAAGUUUGUUUCUCAUUACAUGUUUCAAUUUAAUUGUUUCACUGGAACCCCAUCACAACAACAACCUGUUUGGUCGUUUUUACAACUCUUGGCUUUAUCUGUAGACCAUAAUGAGUUUAGUCCUCCCUUUUGUGCCGAGGGGCUUCAUAGCAUCCUUCUGUUCUACGACAGAAAUUCAGAUUUGAAAUAUUGAAUGUUUAUAAUUAAGUUACAGCAUGCAAUAAAUUUUUCAAGAAACAUCAUGAAUCCGGAGAGGAACUUGGCGUAUGAUACAAGACACUGGGAUCCGCAUUAAGUGAUGACUCUUCCCGAAGGAGUAUUUCAUUAAAGAAAAUGGCGUACUGUGCUGACAUUCUGUCAAAUUGUUUUGAAAUUUACCGAAUUUCUUUCAUAAGAGCCAAUUUGUGAUCACAAAGUGUCUCUGAACAGGCUGUGCCAUCAGUAACUUUUUUCCACAAAGUCGAUUAACUGAAAUACUCAAUUGUGGAACGUUGACAGAAGGAAAUACCUACAACCCUGUCGUUCCUUAGCAACCCCUUUCUGUUUCAAAGCUCUUUAAAUUUUCAGCACGAAGGCUGCUUUUUAUCACCAUUUGCGUCCGCGGUAUCUCUCAAAAAAAAGAUAAAUAGGCUGGUCUCAUUUCUGAAUAUGUUAUUUCAAUAAAUGUUCUAUCUGAA